Long non-coding RNA from Quercus lobata, 765 nucleotides. RefSeq lists it as uncharacterized. NCBI's taxonomy places the organism in Eukaryota, Viridiplantae, Streptophyta, Magnoliopsida, Fagales, Fagaceae. The record is from RefSeq and is a predicted model, not a curated record. The transcript is spliced from 3 exons.
UUACCUCUGAAGAAAUUUAGAGAGUCGUUUUGUGUUCAUCUCCCAUAAUUGCAGCACAAAUGUGGUAUUGUUCCACUUUCAACCAGUAUAUUAUAUUUAGAAGUGGGUUGAACUCAAGUUCAUGUGGAGAAAUUGGUGGAAUUGCUCAGGAAGAAGAACACAUAACGUAGGACAAGAAAAGCUUAAAGACAACAGUUAGGAUUUUGUUGUCUAAAGCUCCAAACAUCAUUGUGUGUUAAAAACUUACCCCGUUUGUGCAGAAAGAUUAUGUGUGGAAAAUCAAAUGCCCAUAUCUGCUAGGUGUUCGAUCAAAGGCCUCUAAGAGAUUUGCAUGAUGUGAAAGGCUUACCACCACUUGCGUAUGUUCUUUAAGGAAGCCCUAGAGUAAUCAUCUGGAUGCAAGGAGAGUAACAGUAGCAACACUGAGUAAGCAUAAGUGUUAUGAUAAGGAUUCAACCACGGCGGAGGUAAUUAAUGGCAGCCAUGGAAGCUAUAAGGUUGGCUAGAGAUAUGUGAUGAUUUCAAGUGAUACUUGAGGGGAUGACAAGCUUCAAUGGCACAUUUAAAGAGAGAGCUGAGAAGUUUAGGCAGUUAAAGUUUUUGUUCAUGGAGCUACAAGCACAGCAUCACAUUCUUUACCUAUAUUUUUAGUUCAUUUGGUUGAUAGGAAUUUUUGGAUUGGUCACAGUCCACAAUUCUUACAACCCCAAUUGCCACUGCUAUAUUGAACUCUAUUUAACAUAAAUCAAAAUUUUUCUCUUCAAA